Molecule: ribosomal RNA, 301 nt
Filed under: uncultured bacterium
Lineage: Bacteria
Description: partial 16S ribosomal RNA
Rfam family: Bacterial small subunit ribosomal RNA
Source: RNAcentral
CAGUCGCCGCGGUAAUACGUAGAUGGCAAGCGUUGUCCGGAAUUAUUGGGCGUAAAGCGCGCGCAGGUGGUUUAAUAAGUCUGAUGUGAAAGCCCACGGCUCAACCGUGGAGGGUCAUUGGAAACUGUUAAACUUGAGUGCAGGAGAGAAAAGUGGAAUUCCUAGUGUAGCGGUGAAAUGCGUAGAGAUUAGGAGGAACACCAGUGGCGAAGGCGGCUUUUUGGCCUGUAACUGACACUGAGGCGCGAAAGCGUGGGGAGCAAACAGGAUUAGAGACCCCGGUAGUCCCUGUCUCUUAUAC